Molecule: transfer RNA, 72 nt
Filed under: Marmota monax (woodchuck)
Lineage: Eukaryota; Metazoa; Chordata; Mammalia; Rodentia; Sciuridae
Description: tRNA.Ala
Source: RNAcentral
GUUGGUUGUGGCUUGGUGGUAGAGCACUUGCCUAGCAUAUGUGAGGCACUGAGUUCAAUCCUCAGCCCCACA